Molecule: ribosomal RNA, 481 nt
Filed under: uncultured bacterium
Lineage: Bacteria
Description: partial 16S ribosomal RNA
Source: RNAcentral
GUAGUUAGCCGGGGCUUUCUUACAGGGUACCGUCACUUCUUCGUCCCCUGCGACAGAGGUUUACAAUCCGAAAACCUUCUUCCCUCACGCGGCGUUGCUGGGUCAGGCUUGCGCCCAUUGCCCAAUAUUCCCCACUGCUGCCUCCCGUAGGAGUCUGGACCGUGUCUCAGUUCCAGUGUGGCCGAUCAGCCUCUCAGCUCGGCUACCCAUCGUCGGCUUGGUGGGCUGUUAUCUCACCAACUACCUAAUGGGACGCGAACCCCUCUAAAAGCGAUAAAUCUUUGACCUCUUCCCGAUGCCGGGUUGUGGUCUUAUGCGGUAUUAGCAGUUGUUUCCACCUGUUAUUCCCCACUCUUAGGCAGGUUGUUCACGCGUUACUCACCCGUGCGCCACUCGGGAAUGACCGAAGCCAUUCCCUCGUUCGACUUGCAUGGGUUAGGCACGCCGCCAGCGUUCGUCCUGAGCCAGAAUCGAACCCUGA